Non-coding RNA from Pelobates cultripes (western spadefoot toad), 230 nucleotides. Lineage: Eukaryota; Metazoa; Chordata; Amphibia; Anura; Pelobatidae. The record is from the annotation of a GenBank genome assembly.
AAGGAAUGCAUUGUGUGUUUCUGUGUGUGUAAGGGAUGCAUUGUGUGUAAGGGUUGCAUUGCUUGUGUGUGUGUGUGUAAUGCAUUGUGUGUUUUUCUGUGUGCAAGGGGUGCUUUGUGUGUGUGUGUGAUGGAUGUCAAUCUCUUAUCCCCCCUCUCCCUCCCUUGUCACUCUCUUCUCCCCCCCUUGUCCCUCUCUUCUCCCCCCUCCCUUGUCACUCUCUUUUCCCC